RNAcentral lists this unclassified non-coding RNA (315 nucleotides) under plant metagenome. RNAcentral's name for it is "partial contains 5.8S ribosomal RNA, internal transcribed spacer 2, and large subunit ribosomal RNA". The stretch from base 1 to 105 matches the Rfam family "5.8S ribosomal RNA", at positions 50 to 154 of the family's 154-position model. The record is from RNAcentral.
GAAAUGCGAUAACUAGUGUGAAUUGCAGAAUUCCGUGAAUCAUCGAGUCUUUGAACACACAUUGCGCCCCCUGGUAUUCCGGGGGGCAUGCCUGUCCGAGCGUCAUUGCUGCCCAUCAAGCACGGCUUGUGUGUUGGGUCGUCGUCCCCUCUCCGGGGGGACGGGCCCCAAAGGCAGCGGCGGCACCGCGUCCGAUCCUCGAGCGUAUGGGGCUUUGUCACCCGCUCUGUAGGCCCGGCCGGCGCUUGCCGAACGCAAAUCAAUCUUUUUCCAGGUUGACCUCGGAUCAGGUAGGGAUACCCGCUGAACUUAAGC